This 456-nucleotide ribosomal RNA is filed under the name uncultured Lactobacillus sp. RNAcentral's name for it is "bacterial SSU rRNA". It matches the Rfam family "Bacterial small subunit ribosomal RNA", at positions 100 to 525 of the family's 1533-position model. Lineage: Bacteria; Bacillati; Bacillota; Bacilli; Lactobacillales; Lactobacillaceae. The record is from RNAcentral.
ACGGUGAGUAACACGUGGGGGUAACCCUGCCCAAGAGGAUCGGGGAUAACACCUGGGAAACAGAUGCUAAUACCGGAUAACAACAGAUGAUGCCUAUCAACUGUUUAAAAGAUGGUUCUGCUAUCACUCUUGGGAUGGACCUGCGGUGCAUUAGCUAGUUGGUAGGGGUAACGGGCCUACCAAGGCGAUGAUGCAUAGCCCGAGUCGAGAGACUGAUCGGGCCACAUUGGGACUGAGACACGGGCCCAAACUCCUACGGGAGGCAGCAGUAGGGGAAUCUUCCACAAUGGACGCAAAGUCUGAUGGAGCAAAACGCCGCGUGAGUGAAGAAGGGUUUCGGCUCGUAAAAGCUCUGUUGUUGGUGAAGAAGGACAGGGGUAGUAACUGACCCUUUGUUUGACGGUAAUCAAUUUAGAAAGUCACGGGCUAACUACGUGCCCAGCAGCCGCGGUAAAU